CUCGAGUAGGGCCCAAGCAAGCCAGGAAGGAGGAGGCAGCCAGAGUGUUCUCUGCAGCAGAAGACCCCUUGCUGCCCUGCUUAACCCAGACCAGCAUUUGCCAGAGAAAUCUUGGCAUAAAUACAUAGGAAUCUUGAACAAGAACAAUUGCCUUUAGCAGCCAACACUGUAAGUCAUCCGCAAGCUGUCAUCAGGAACUGAAAUGCGUCUGCAUAUUUGGUACCAUGUUUGGCUGCCUAAUCAAAACAAUAUGUAAACUGUUGGCAAGAAGGAGGGCUUGCCAAGCCAAAAUUAUUUACAAGUUACAUCUGUGUUUCUGGAAGUUGUUGGAGAAGAAAAAUGGAAAAGGGCAAACAGUUUAACUGGAAGGCAACAUCUCUCCGACUCAGUUCUCCAUGAGAGGUCUGCCAAAGGUAUGUUCGGGAGGCGUCUGAGCAUUCCCCGGUUGCCAUUAGCAUGUAUUGUAAAGGAAAACGUCCAAGAAAAUGUCUGCUUGUACACUUGACAUCUGAGCUGACAG
Hemicordylus capensis (graceful crag lizard) is the source of this 520-nucleotide long non-coding RNA. RefSeq lists it as uncharacterized. The transcript has 3 exons. The record is from RefSeq and is a predicted model, not a curated record. Lineage: Eukaryota; Metazoa; Chordata; Lepidosauria; Squamata; Cordylidae.